Molecule: ribosomal RNA, 623 nt
Filed under: uncultured fungus
Lineage: Eukaryota; Fungi
Description: eukaryotic LSU rRNA
Rfam family: Eukaryotic large subunit ribosomal RNA
Source: RNAcentral
CCCGCUGAACUUAAGCAUAUCAAUAAGCGGAGGAAAAGAAACCAACAGGGAUUGCCCUAGUAACGGCGAGUGAAGCGGCAACAGCUCAAAUUUGAAAUCUGGCUCUCGGGCCCGAGUUGUAAUUUGUAGAGGGCGCUUUGGCGUCGGCCGCGGCCUAAGUCCCCUGGAACGGGGCGUCAGAGAGGGUGAGAAUCCCGUCUGCGGCCGCUGGCCUUCGCCGCGUAAAGCCCCUUCGACGAGUCGAGUUGUUUGGGAAUGCAGCUCUAAAUGGGAGGUAAAUUUCUUCUAAAGCUAAAUACCGGCCAGAGACCGAUAGCGCACAAGUAGAGUGAUCGAAAGAUGAAAAGCACUUUGGAAAGAGAGUCAAAAAGCACGUGAAAUUGUUGAAAGGGAAGCGCUUGCAGCCAGACGUGCCCGCGGCGGCUCAACCAGGCUCUCGCCUGGCGCACUCCACCGUGGGCAGGCCAGCAUCAGUCCGGGCGGCCGGAGAAAGGCACACGACACGUACCUGUCCUCGCGGCAUGACAUACAGGGUGGGCGGCAUACGGCCAGCCCGGACUGAGGUCCGCGCAUCUGCUAGGAUGCUGGCGUAAUGGUGGCAAGCGGCCCGUCUUGAAACACGG